This 399-nucleotide ribosomal RNA is filed under the name Geoglossum umbratile. RNAcentral's name for it is "partial small subunit ribosomal RNA". It matches the Rfam family "Eukaryotic small subunit ribosomal RNA", at positions 30 to 432 of the family's 1831-position model. The record is from RNAcentral. Lineage: Eukaryota; Fungi; Ascomycota; Geoglossomycetes; Geoglossales; Geoglossaceae.
GCUUGUCUCAAAGAUUAAGCCAUGCAUGUCUAAGUAUAAGCAACUAUACUGUGAAACUGCGAAUGGCUCAUUAAAUCAGUUAUCGUUUAUUUGAUAGUACCUUACUACAUGGAUAACCGUGGUAAUUCUAGAGCUAAUACAUGCUAAAAACCCCGACUUACGAAGGGGUGUACUUAUUAGAUAAAAAGCCAAUGCCCUUCGGGGCUCUGUGGUGAUUCAUAAUAAUUCAACGAAUCGCAUGGCCUUGCGCCGGCGAUGGUUCAUUCAAAUUUCUGCCCUAUCAUAGUUUUGACUGGAACGUAGUGGGCUCCAGUGCUUUCGACGGGUAACGGGGAAUUAGGGUUCUAUUCCGGAGAGGGAGCCUGAGAAACGGCUACCACAUCCAAGGAAGGCAGCAGG